AACGAACGCUGGCGGCAUGCCUAACACAUGCAAGUCGAACGAGACCUUCGGGUCUAGUGGCGCACGGGUGCGUAACGCGUGGGAACCUGCCUUUAGGUUCGGAAUAACUCAGAGAAAUUUGAGCUAAUACCGGAUGAUGUCUUCGGACCAAAGAUUUAUCGCCUUUAGAUGGGCCCGCGUUGGAUUAGCUAGUUGGUGGGGUAAAGGCCUACCAAGGCGACGAUCCAUAGCUGGUCUGAGAGGAUGAUCAGCCACACUGGGACUGAGACACGGCCCAGACUCCUACGGGAGGCAGCAGUGGGGAAUAUUGGACAAUGGGCGAAAGCCUGAUCCAGCAAUGCCGCGUGAGUGAUGAAGGCCUUAGGGUUGUAAAGCCCUUUUACCCGAGAUGAUAAUGACAGUAUCGGGAGAAUAAGCUCGGGCUAACUCCGUG
Molecule: ribosomal RNA, 433 nt
Filed under: uncultured bacterium
Lineage: Bacteria
Description: partial 16S ribosomal RNA
Rfam family: Bacterial small subunit ribosomal RNA
Source: RNAcentral